AUUGAACGCUGGCGGCAGGCCUAACACAUGCAAGUCGAGCGGAUGAAGGGAGCUUGCUCCUGGAUUCAGCGGCGGACGGGUGAGUAAUGCCUAGGAAUCUGCCUGGUAGUGGGGGAUAACGUCCGGAAACGGGCGCUAAUACCGCAUACGUCCUGAGGGAGAAAGUGGGGGAUCUUCAGACCUCACGCUAUCAGAUGAGCCUAGGUCGGAUUAGCUAGUUGGUGGGGUAAAGGCCUACCAAGGCGACGAUCCGUAACUGGUCUGGGAGGAUGAUCAGUCACACUGGAACUGAGACACGGUCCAGACUCCUACGGGAGGCAGCAGUGGGGAAUAUUGGACAAUGGGCGAAAGCCUGAUCCAGCCAUGCCGCGUGUGUGAAGAAGGUCUUCGGAUUGGAAAGCACUUUAAGUUGGGAGGAAGGGCAGUAAGUUAAUACCUUGCUGUUUUGACGUUACCAACAGAAUAAGCACCGGCUAACUUCGUG
RNAcentral lists this ribosomal RNA (484 nucleotides) under uncultured bacterium. RNAcentral's name for it is "partial 16S ribosomal RNA". It matches the Rfam family "Bacterial small subunit ribosomal RNA", at positions 30 to 507 of the family's 1533-position model. The record is from RNAcentral.